UUCUAAUUCUCAAAGUUAGUAGACUCUGCUCAGUGAGCAAUUAAAUAGCCGCAGUAUCUUGACUGUGCUAAGGUAGCAUAAUAACUAGGCUUCUAAUAAAGGUCUUGAAUGAACGAGUUGACGAUUUUUAGGCUGUCUUAGCUUUAGUUGGGAAAUUUAUUUUUAAGUUAAAAAGCUUAACUUUCUAGAAAGACGAUAAGACCCUAUAAAGCUUUACUAAUAUAGUUAAUAAAAGGAGAAGAUUUUGUAAAAUUAGUUAAGCUGGGGCGGCAAUAAAAAUUCUUUUAUAAAUAUAACAAAAUAUGUGAGUUGAGAGAUCUAAAAAGAUAUAGAAUAAGCUACUUUAGGGAUAACAGCGCAAUCUUUUUAGAGAGAUCUUAUUGAUAAAAAGGACUUGCGACCUCGAUGUUGAAUUGAGGGGCCUAAAUUAAGCAAAAAUAAUUUAAGGGAGUCUGUUCGACUUUUAAUUCCUC
This 473-nucleotide ribosomal RNA is filed under the name Mastigoniscus sp. BOLD:ADL2982. RNAcentral's name for it is "partial 16S ribosomal RNA". It matches the Rfam family "Bacterial large subunit ribosomal RNA", at positions 1832 to 2597 of the family's 2925-position model. The record is from RNAcentral. Lineage: Eukaryota; Metazoa; Arthropoda; Malacostraca; Isopoda; Haploniscidae.